GGAAAAAGACACAUAACUCUGACCAUUCAAGGUAAAUCAUUAUUUUGUCUAUCAAAAUUGUAAUAUUGCAGAUUAAUUUAUCUUUAAAACUAAUAUAAAAAAAUAGGAAAACCUGCAACCACAAGGGACCCAAAACUGUUCUCUUGGCCAAAAUGAACUCCUGAUUCUCUGGGAAAUCCAUUUGCAAUACAGUUCAGCCUCAGGCCGAAUCUGCAGUUGGAUGCAGGCAUAAUUCUACCGCUCUUAUGUUCAAGUUACUUUAACCCUUGUGUAGUCUUCAUUCUGUAUACUCCUCUUGUCCAAAGGGUGAAAAAUGACCUUCACUAAACCCCUGAAAUAAAGCAGCUUAAUUGAAUUUUAAACCCCAAAUCUAUUCUGCAUGAAGAAACAACAUGUCACUUUUCACAAACUGUCAUAAAAUUUCAAGUUGACAAAAUAUAAUUUAGGGGGUUUUCUCUGCUGUUAAACAUGGAGGCGGGACCCUUAAGACAAAGGGUUAUUCAUUCAUUAUCCUAACCCAAUUAUCCUGAACAGGGUUGCAGGGGGGCUGGAGCCUAUCCCAGCAUACAUUGGAAAAAAAUGCAGGAAUACACCCUGGACAGGUCGUCAGUCCAUCGCAGAGCACACACACCAUUCACUCACACACUCAUGUGGGCCCAAAAUUUUACUAUAUGAAAAAGGAAAUAUAAUUUUGUGGAGCUCACCCCAUUCUAUUUGCUGGGAGUGAGUAAGUACUAGUGACAGAAGCUAACCCAACUUACUGGGGAUGACUGGCUUUUCCCAUUUGACUGGCUCCAAUUCACUCCUGUUCAUUUUUGAGACCUCACCAAAAUUAGUACAAAAUAAUGAAAGAGUAAUAAUAAGUAAUAAUAGAGUGAUAAAAAAGACUUUUUUUAAGGCUAUUUUAAGACUUUGGCGAAAAAAUACAACAAUAUCAUUGUUUUAAUGAACGUGCCCAUGUUAAUAUGCAGGAAUACAUCACUUAGUUAUGAUAACAAAACCUUUCAUAGAUUCUUUAAUAAAACGGCAAAAAAAAAAGGUCGCGUAAAUUAAUGGAAGUGUAUUGAGAACCGGACAAAAGGGAAACACAGCGGUGCAGUUAACGGGCAGCAGGGAAAGCUGAUGUUCCUGGUAUUCACUCCACGCAAAUAUAAUGAGGUUAGCUCCAUACAACUCAAGUGAAAUGUCCCUUUAAUGGUGGUUCCACAGAGACUCCUGUAUUCUCAGCCUUUGUAUGUUGCACUGUACCCCACAGGACUUGGAGCCCCUGUGAAGUGCACCAUGGUUCAUGGGACUGAUGAGAUUGAUGUGAGGAUGAACGCCGCAUCUCCGCAAAACAAUACAGAAAUAUUCUUUAUGGAUCGAAGGGGAGAAUACGUGUCUGCCAUUUGUCAGAUUAAUCCCUACACUCCCAAUAAGUCUUCUGAAAAUUCACAAUCAACAAAUUCCACUUGUGAGUCCCUAGAGCAGAUGGUUGUUCCUGUGGCACUGGGAUCUUGCUCGGUUCUUCUCGCUAUCCUGUUGGGGACCUGGUGCUGCCUCUACAAAAAGAAGCAAAAACAACCAAAGGGAAGCCAGAGAAGGACUGGUGCGAAAGGUGACACGUAGAUCCAGCCAAUCGCAGUGACCUUCCUCAAAUUUAGGCCGAAUACCCACUUGAAAUUCAGGGGGAUUUUGUCCACAGGAACUACAACAUCGUGGGAAGGAUAUCUUUCUUUUUUUUUUUUUCUCACAAUUUUUUGGUAAUGUGAACUGUAAUUUUCCUCCCUGUCACCUUUGUGGGAUAGUUUUUGUGUUCUGCAAUAGAGAUAUUGCAGAACACAAACAGAUAAUUAUGUGACCAGCAGGGCUUGACAUCAACACCUACCAGUGGCCAAAUCCGGAUAGAAUUUGGCAUUGGCGUGUAACUUGUUCACUCUUACUGGCCACUUUGGCAGGUGAGAUUUCAGUAACAUUUUCUGAAUCUGAAAUUAAGUCAAUUGAAUUACGUUUAUGUUCCACCGCAGAGUUACAUACUAUCAUGAGGUAUGGACUUGAAAACAAAUUCUGACAAAAUAUGUCUAUUAGCUCAUUUGCAUACUUUACUCAAGAUGGCGGAAGUGACAAUUUUUUUGUUUUUGUUGCAGUCUAUAACCUAGUAAGAUAUUGUUAUAAUUCUUUCAGAUUCUAAAUAAGACAUGUUUGAAGAUAUUUUGCGCCAAUUUGUAUCACCAGUCCACAAUAGCCAUUUUUCUCGAAAUUUCAGAUUUUCCAUGAAGAUUUUUCAUGAAAAUUGUGAAAUUUCAGGAUCUAACAAUGGACUUUGUGAUGCUGUACCUGUCCCUAAAGCUUAUAACAAGAAAAUAAUUUGUUCUCCUGGAUAUGAAGUAAAGGAUUUCUAAGUUUCAUGAUGAUAAGAUGACUAUGCACUGAGACAAAUGUGGUAAAUAAUUAUACUAAUUCCAUCAUAUACAUGGUGUAAUCACUCAAAAGGUGGCAUUAUCCUGAAAAUUGAAUCGUUGAGGGAUGAUUUGCAGCAGUAAACAGAAAAGGGUCAUUGAUUUUUUCAGUGGAACAGAACCUUAAGGCAAUUUUCUGGUGAUACUGCAUGAUACUACAACUCCCAUGAGCACUAGGUGCCAUCUCGCUCUAGCUUCUUCAGUGGGAGCAGGCGAACUCGGGUGAACACAGCGCUGCAACUUCAAAGUGUCUGUUUGUAUCCAUGGCACUGGACAGCGCAGAUUCAGAUCCUCUAGUUCCAAUCUGAAAACAUGGAAGUGACAACGAUCGCAGCACCGAACACAGAAAAAGAUAACGGUUCAGUAAAUGAGCGUGAACUUCGACCACAGACAGUUCUGUGACUUUGAGAAAUGCCCAUGAAUUCAAAGUUGCUUUAGCUUAUUUUUAAAAGGCAAAGAAAAUAAAAAAGGGAAAACAAAAAAAGAAAGAAAGUAGGCUUGUCACAGUGUCUGGUUUAAGCUGUGCAUUCAGCAGUUAUACUGCAUAAUGCCAAUACUGAUAUUUUGUAAUUGUAAUUAAAAGUAGUCAUUAAAAAUAGUCAAAGUAAAAACAAUCAAAAAUGAAGAAAGAGUUCUGUUACUCCAUAAAGCGUCUGUAGCGGCAGGAUACAGAUAAAAACAUUGUGCAUGUCACAUCAACAUUAUGUAAAAUUGUGGCUAUGGGUGUGGCAGCCUGUCGAGAAGUGGCUAAGUUAUGACUGGGUCCAGGAUGGUUGACGGUUCAAGCCCUGGUGUAGCCACGAUACGAUCCGCACAGCGGUUGGGCCCUUGAGCAAGGUCCUUAACCCCGCAUUGCUCCAAGGGGGAUUUUCCCCUGCUUAGUCUAAUCAACUGUAAGUCUCUUCAGCUAAAUAACUGCAAUGUAAUGUGUGCACUUUGUUCUCUGCACUGACACAUGGAGAAUAUUCAUGGCAAAGGUAUGCAAUACAAGUGUUUUGUAAUUGAAAUGAUUUUGAAGUGCAUUUUUUAUUUAAUGUUCUCUUUAACGAGCUAACAUGGUAGUUAAGAGUGGUGUAUAUCUUUUUUGGUUAGUGUAGGUGACUUAGCAAUUACAAUGAUUUUUAUAUACCUAUAUGUCUAUUUGCCUUCAGUACAAUCUAUUUUUGUCAUGUGUAUUUUUUCUUUAAUGAUGUAUUUUAUAUUUCUUUUUAAUAUGAAUGAAGAGUAUAAUGUCUCAACUCAUGCAUGUCUCUGCAACAUUAUUUGUGAAUGUAUAUUUUAAUAAAAUGGGUUCCAACUGUUACGUGUGGACUAUAUAA
Long non-coding RNA from Conger conger (European conger), 3757 nucleotides. RefSeq lists it as uncharacterized. The transcript is spliced from 3 exons. The record is from RefSeq and is a predicted model, not a curated record. Lineage: Eukaryota; Metazoa; Chordata; Actinopteri; Anguilliformes; Congridae.